This is a non-coding RNA of Podarcis lilfordi (Lilford's wall lizard), 182 nucleotides long. The record is from the annotation of a GenBank genome assembly. Lineage: Eukaryota; Metazoa; Chordata; Lepidosauria; Squamata; Lacertidae.
UUGCAACCCUCUACUUAAUCUGGAUCUUAAAUGAUGCCUUGUUUUUAUUUUUUUAACCUUAAAUCCAAGUGUACAUUUAUUGCUGUAUAUAUUUAUUGUGUUUUACAAGUGUGUGUGUGUGUGUGUGUGUACAUAUGUACACGAGAGAGAGAGAGAGAGAGAGAGAGAGAGAGAGAAGCAAA